GUAGUACUCCCUCCGUUCGGAAUUACUUGUCACAAAAAUGGAUGUAUCUACAACUAAAAUACAUCUAGAUACAUUCAUUUCUUGGACGAGUAAUUCCGAACGGAGGGAGUAUGUA
Triticum aestivum (bread wheat) is the source of this 115-nucleotide non-coding RNA. Lineage: Eukaryota; Viridiplantae; Streptophyta; Magnoliopsida; Poales; Poaceae. The record is from Rfam.